RNAcentral lists this microRNA precursor (159 nucleotides) under Pelobates cultripes (western spadefoot toad). The record is from RNAcentral. Lineage: Eukaryota; Metazoa; Chordata; Amphibia; Anura; Pelobatidae.
GCUGACACAUCCCUGCCAAUCUCCGGCAGACCCUCCCUCCCAGACCCUCCUACUUCCUGGACAGCAUCCAUGUUGAAGGCAGCUUCAACAUGGAUGCUGUCCAGGAGGUGGGAGGGUCUGGGAGGGAGGGUCUGCUGGACAUUGGCAGGGAUGUGUCAG